ACAAAUUAUUUUAUUUCUUUCCAACAAUCCAAAAUGAAAGACUUUAUGGCUCACUUUGACUUCCUGGACAGAUGGGCACCACUAAUCACUGCCACUCAGAAGGAGAUCUCCAUUAGGCUGAACAGUUCUUAGCUAUCAUCUUUUUUGAAUCAUCAAAUGACCUAGUCUUCCCCUCACUUGGUGAUAUUUGGGUCUUCCACUUGAAGCUUAGUGCUGCUUGCCUUCUCUCAUUGUUUUGUUUUUCUUGCUACCAUUUGUAUUUAUGCUUCUUGGCUUGUUGAAAUUUUAUUUGCUUCUAUUGAUAUAUUGUUUAUGAUUCAAUUUAAAGAAAAGGUGAACCAGAGGUCUGAUGCAUUGGGGUAUUACUCAGCAACCUCAAAAAGGUGUGUUGCAGAUGCACUCUGUCAAAAUUGGUAUUGCGCUUUUAUGUGGUUUGUACAACUGCAGUGGAAGCCAGAGGUUGUGGGCAGCACGUGUCUUCUGUAGCAGAAAUUACCCAUAAUUCUAAGUCCCAGAGUGCUGUGCCAUUAAAAGACAGGGCUCUGCCAAGGUACAGACAACUUUGGAUCACAAAAGUAGUCAUUGGCAUCAUAAAUACAAAUAACAGUUAGGUUGCAAGUAUAGAGAAUUAGACCAGAAAGCCUGGAUCUCUGUACUAGACCAGGAUCCAUCUUUGUUCAUUAGAAUCCGUAUUGAAAAAACAGGCCUGAUUUUUAAAAAGCAACAGGAAAAGUUUGCAAAAUCCUUUGUCUCUGCCUGAAAGCAAAAAGGCUUGAAACAGACAUCUGUAUAAGCAGGGCUGAAUCAGAGGAAGCCCAUCCUUAGGAGGUAAUCUACUCAGAUGGUUUGAUGGCAGCUAAUAUGAUCUUGGGCAGGAUUUUAAAGAUAANAUUGACAAGCUAUUUGGCAUUCCAGACCAACCUAUUGUUAACAACAGAAUUGGAUAUUCUCAUUAAGAUUCUCAUUAAGAAUGCGAGACAGUAGCAUUGAAAUCUGAUUGGAAACUCAUUCCAACCAGAGUUUAGCUUUUGUUUAAGGUAAAGACUACCCAUUUAAGCCCAUCAACACGAUCCAGAGGUGUGUUCUUCCAACUGGGCACAUUCACUUGGGUGGGAGGAAGCAACAAAUAUGAACAACAGUGACACAAACACUACAUCAUUUGCCCUCUGCCCUUCACAUUUUGCCCACCAAAGCUUGCCCACUAAUGUCCAUUAAUGCAGUCUGUUAGUCCCACCUGUAGGUGGAACCUAGGAUUAGUGACAGCCCUCAGCUCCAGAUGCACAUAAAAAUGCACACCAGGAGCAGCAAGAUAUGAUUCGUCAUCACUUACCACAUCCACUAUAUGCUGUUGUCACUUUGAAGCUGCUUCUGUCAUGCUACUGUAAGAUGCUCCACUCCACUCCACUCCAUUUCACUCUGCUUUGCUUGCCUGCUGUCUCACUGCUUCAGCCUGAAACAGCUUCAUUGCCCUAAACUCUGAUCUGUGCAUUGGUUAGGCCACGGAACCAAAUAACUUUAUUCAUUACUUUGUUGAUAUAGAGUUGUGCUCUCUUGGAGCUCAGCAACUCUGCCGGAACUUUACCAGACUUUGGAACUUUCUUGCCAGCAACAAACCUAUGAACUUACGUCCCCGCUUUGCCUCUGAGGGUGAGAACUGGCUGCUUCUGGUCAAGCUAUGGUUGUCUUCUGUCAGGAUGUGGCAUAUUUAGGGCAGUUUUCCCCUUCCUUUCCUCUCUAUCAGCUCAUUCCAUUGGAUCUUGUCAAACCUGACCUGAUUUGACCUCUCCACUCAUAAAAGGCCGCUACUAUGGAGGUUUUUUGCCGUAUUUGACCCUUGUGCAUGUGCAGUACACUGUAAGAAGUGAGAUCUUAAUCUUUUACUAUAUAAGAAUGGCAUGCUGUACUGUAGCUUUGACAACUUUUCUGGUCAGCUGUUUGCUGUCAAAGCUGUCAUUUUUGUAUUUUUAUGCUGUUUCUGAGCUUUUCUUGCUAUUGUUAAUAAAGUUUGUGUUUUGAUUUGAC
Molecule: long non-coding RNA, 2022 nt
Organism: Salvator merianae (Argentine black and white tegu)
Lineage: Eukaryota; Metazoa; Chordata; Lepidosauria; Squamata; Teiidae
Source: Ensembl